RNAcentral lists this ribosomal RNA (191 nucleotides) under uncultured bacterium. RNAcentral describes it as "partial 16S ribosomal RNA". It matches the Rfam family "Bacterial small subunit ribosomal RNA", at positions 1309 to 1500 of the family's 1533-position model. The record is from RNAcentral.
AACCCGCCUGCAUGAAGUUGGAAUCGCUAGUAAUCGCGGAUCAGCAUGCCGCGGUGAAUACGUUCCCGGGCCUUGUACACACCGCCCGUCACACCAUGAGAGUCGGGAACACCCGAAGUCCGUAGCCUAACCGCAAGGGGGCGCGGCCGAAGGUGGGUUCGAUAAUUGGGGUGAAGUCGUAACAAGGUACC